UCUUCUUGCUCAUCUAAUCUCUUCUUGCUCAUCUCCAUGGCUCCAACCAGACCCACCCAUUAUAAUUGUUCAUCUCCACAGUUCCCAGUUGAUGAUGGUGGUUGUUUGAAACACGUACGAGUCACAACCGAGUUUCGUUACCGGGUUCUGAUCUUAACCUCUUGUACGACCAUCAAAAAGUGACGAUUCUAACUCGUCAACGGUGGUUGACUUGAGCCCGUCGCCCUCGCCCUCGCCGUUGUCACCGCCGGGAAGAGUGGUUAGUGAUCUUAACUUUCCGCCGGCGGGAAAGAAUACUCCUAAAUUACAAAGAGUAGUUAGUGAUUAUGAAGCUUGUUAGUUAUGCAUCAAAAUUUUAUAGGGGAUAGGGAUUCAAGUUGGAAAAUUAUCUCUUUAGCCCUUGGAGGAAUUCGUCUUUCGGUUGUAAGCAUUAUGAUUCGGUGAUUACAUAGUUGCAGAAAUACAAGAAGAUGUAAACAAUGUGCAGUUGAAUGAUGAAUUCUACAUUGGUCGGAGACAGAAAAAGAGCAACCGGGCAGUUUUUAUUGUACAAGUUUGAGGAUUUUGCUAACCACGCGAUGCAUUUGGAUGUGCGAUGGUAUGAUCAUAAAAUGAUGUAAGCUUAUAGCUAGUCCUUUUUUACAGAAUUUGGAUGUAAGCGAAUAUACCCGGUACGGUACAAUUCGUUACCGGUACGAUACUGGUAUUUGAGGGUAAAAACCGGUAAAUAUGAUACCGAACCGGUACCGUACCGUACCGGACCGGUACCGAAAAUCUCAAAAGUCGGUACCGAAUCGGUACCAAAAAAUGUACCCGGUUCGGUAAAUUCAGUACCAGUACCGGGUACCAUUUGCUCAUCCCUAAUUUAAGAUGGGGUAGUGAUGGUGAUUACGGUGGGGUUGUAGUGGUGAUGGUGGGUUAUUAGUUAAAAACAAUUUAUUGUUGAUUGUUUAUAAAAGGAUGGUGAUUACGGUGGGGUUGUAGUGGUGAUGGUGGGUUAUUAGUUAAAAACAAUUUAUUGUUGAUUGUUUAUAAAAGGAUAAGGGAAUUGACUUAAAUGCCCUCACGUGCAGCGCAUGUGAGGGCAUUUAAUUGAGUUUUUUGACGAGGUUAGUUGUAAAGGUUAUAGGAUGUCACAAAACAUUAACAUAAAGGUUGAGUUUGGCCGACUUCAUAGUUAAAGGUAUGAAGUGCAGUCUGGGUAUAACAUAAAGGUUGAUUUUUACAAUUUAGUAUAAUUUAUGUGAAUGAAGGUUGAAGAAGAUGGACCAGUUGUCAAAAUCAGGCAUGGGGAGACUUUUGAAGAUCAUAUGAGAUACUUGGGACUUUCUAUCUAUACUUACAUGUACUCUUAUUUCUUUUUGUUGGAUUAUAAGAUCUCUGGAAGGCGAGAUCGGUUUUGUUGUUAUCGAAUGAACAAUUUGAAUUUUUAUAACGUAGCUUUUGCUUGCCUAUUA
Long non-coding RNA from Helianthus annuus (common sunflower), 1457 nucleotides. RefSeq lists it as uncharacterized. The transcript is spliced from 2 exons. The record is from RefSeq and is a predicted model, not a curated record. NCBI's taxonomy places the organism in Eukaryota, Viridiplantae, Streptophyta, Magnoliopsida, Asterales, Asteraceae.